Molecule: ribosomal RNA, 274 nt
Filed under: uncultured bacterium
Lineage: Bacteria
Description: partial 16S ribosomal RNA
Rfam family: Bacterial small subunit ribosomal RNA
Source: RNAcentral
AUACGGAGGGCGCAAGCGUUGUUCGGAAUCAUUGGGCGUAAAGCGCGUGUAGGCGGCUUGGUAAGUCGGGUGUGAAAUCCCGGGGCUCAACCCCGGAACUGCAUUCGAAACUGCCUCGCUGGAGUCCCGGAGAGGAGAGCGGAAUUCCCGGUGUAGAGGUGAAAUUCGUAGAUAUCGGGAGGAACACCAGCGGCGAAGGCGGCUCUCUGGACGGUGACUGACGCUGAGACGCGAAAGCGUGGGGAGCAAACAGGAUUAGAUACCCCAGUAGUCC